Molecule: ribosomal RNA, 121 nt
Filed under: Pteropus alecto (black flying fox)
Lineage: Eukaryota; Metazoa; Chordata; Mammalia; Chiroptera; Pteropodidae
Source: RNAcentral
GUCUAUGGCCAUGCCACUCUCUGAAUGUGCCCGAUCUUGUCUGAUCUCGGAAGCCAAGCAGGGUCAGGCCUGGUUAGUACUUGGAUGGGAGACCACCUAAGAAUACCAGGUGCUGUAGGCA